Molecule: small nucleolar RNA, 73 nt
Organism: Trichoplusia ni (cabbage looper)
Lineage: Eukaryota; Metazoa; Arthropoda; Insecta; Lepidoptera; Noctuidae
Source: RefSeq, a predicted model, not a curated record
ACUAAAUGAUGACCUAAUUCAGUUCUGCUUCUGACUAAGCUUUGAAGAAAAUUCUUACCCACAAUUCUGAGAU